AUACGGAGGGCGCGAGCGUUAUUCGGAAUCAUUGGGCGUAAAGCGCGUGUAGGCGGCUGGGUAAGUCGGAUGUGAAAGCCCGGGGCUCAACUCCGGAAUUGCAUACGAAACUGCCUAGCUAGAGUCUCGGAGAGGAGGGCGGAAUUCCCGGUGUAGAGGUGAAAUUCGUAGAUAUCGGGAGGAACACCAGUGGCGAAGGCGGCCCUCUGGACGAUGACUGACGCUGAGACGCGAAAGCGUGGGGAGCAAACAGGAUUAGAAACCCCAGUAGUCC
RNAcentral lists this ribosomal RNA (274 nucleotides) under uncultured bacterium. RNAcentral describes it as "partial 16S ribosomal RNA". It matches the Rfam family "Bacterial small subunit ribosomal RNA", at positions 523 to 796 of the family's 1533-position model. The record is from RNAcentral.